This 460-nucleotide ribosomal RNA is filed under the name uncultured bacterium. RNAcentral's name for it is "partial 16S ribosomal RNA". It matches the Rfam family "Bacterial small subunit ribosomal RNA", at positions 338 to 795 of the family's 1533-position model. The record is from RNAcentral.
CCUACGGGUGGCAGCAGUGAGGAAUAUUGGUCAAUGGACGAGAGUCUGAACCAGCCAAGUAGCGUGAAGGAUGACUGUCCUAUGGGUUGUAAACUUCUUUUAUAUGGGAAUAAAACGUUCCACGUGUGGGAUUUUGUAUGUACCAUAUGAAUAAGGAUCGGCUAACUACGUUCCAGCAGCCGCGGUAAUACGGAGGAUCCGAGCGUUAUCCGGAUUUAUUUGGUUUAAAGGGAGCGUAGGUGGAUUGUUAAGUCAGUUGUGAAAGUUUGCGGCUCAACCGUAAAAUUGCAGUUGAAACUGGGAGACUUGAGUGCAGUAGAGGUGAGCGGAAUUCGUGGUGUAGCGGUGAAAUGCUUAGAUAUCACGAAGAACUCCGAUUGCGAAAGCAGUUCACUGGACUGCAACUGACACUGAGGCUCGAAAGUGUGGGUAUCAAACAGGAUUAGAUACCCCAGUAGUC